GACGAACGCUGGCGGCGUGCCUAAUACAUGCAAGUCGAACGCAUUUUCUUUCACCGUAGCUUGCUACACCGAAAGAAAAUGAGUGGCGAACGGGUGAGUAACUCGUGGGUAACCUGCCCAUCAGCGGGGGAUAACACUUGGAAACAGGUGCUAAUACCGCAUAAUUCCAUUUACCGCAUGGUAGAUGGAUGAAAGGCGCUUUUGCGUCACUGAUGGAUGGACCCGCGGUGCAUUAGCUAGUUGGUGGGGUAACGGCCUACCAAGGCUGCGAUGCAUAGCCGACCUGAGAGGGUGAUCGGCCACACUGGGACUGAGACACGGCCCAGACUCCUACGGGAGGCAGCAGUAGGGAAUCUUCGGCAAUGGACGCAAGUCUGACCGAGCAACGCCGCGUGAGUGAAGAAGGUUUUCGGAUCGUAAAACUCUGUUGUUAGAGAAGAACAAGGAUGAGAGUGGAAAGUUCAUCCCUUGACGGUAUCUAACCAGAAAGCCACGGCUAACUACGUG
Molecule: ribosomal RNA, 507 nt
Filed under: uncultured bacterium
Lineage: Bacteria
Description: partial 16S ribosomal RNA
Rfam family: Bacterial small subunit ribosomal RNA
Source: RNAcentral